AGUAACGCGUGGAGAACCUGCCGUAUACUGGGGGAUAACACUUAGAAAUAGGUGCUAAUACCGCAUAAGCGCACAGCUUCGCAUGAAGCAGUGUGAAAAACUCCGGUGGUAUACGAUGGAUCCGCGUCUGAUUAGCUUGUUGGCGGGGUAAAGGCCCACCAAGGCGACGAUCAGUAGCCGGCCUGAGAGGGUGGACGGCCACAUUGGGACUGAGAGACGGCCCAGACUCCUACGGGAGGCAGCAG
Molecule: ribosomal RNA, 245 nt
Filed under: uncultured bacterium
Lineage: Bacteria
Description: partial 16S ribosomal RNA
Rfam family: Bacterial small subunit ribosomal RNA
Source: RNAcentral